UUUGCCUUUGUAUUUAAUCAUGAAUAAAUCUUCUUUUGGAGAAAGUCUUCCUUUAGAGUGACUCCAAUACUUUUUAAAUUCUGAAUUUCCUUUUUCCCGCGCUGCUGGACUCUUCUAUGUCAAUUUGAUUUGGGCAGUUGAUUUGCUCAAAUCGCUUGCCCAGAUCGUUUCUGCAAGUCAGUCCCAGUUUUCAGCUUUUACUUCCUGCAAGUGAUUUGGUCAAAUACUUCGACCCAAUCGAUUUUCCAGCUUUUUCUGUAAUUUUUCUCUAAAUUUCCAAUUUUCUCUUUUUCUGCAAAACAUCAUAAAACAUAAAUUAAACUAGAAAAAUGCAUAAUUAAACAGCAAUAAUGAUAAUAAAAAUGUGGCUAAAUUAUGUUUGAUCAAUGCUUUCUGUGGAUGUCUAUAUAACUCUUCUGUCUGCUUAUUGCCGUUCUGAUCCUCUCUCUAAUGAUAGGCACUACUUUGCUGGUGAUCUUUGCCAAUUCUAGCCUUGCUAAAGGCCCUUUCUCCCACUUCUUCCCAGCAGACGAGUGACCUGCACUUCCUCCCAUAUAGAGAUAAGGAGCCAUCCCAAUGCUAGUGACUGUGCGGUUGUCGAAGCCGGUCAAAAAUAACCUUUUUGGUUAUAAAUAAUUUUAUAACUGCAGAUAGUGGCAAUAAAUUGAAAGUAAAUAAACUGAAAGUAAAAUAAAAUGGGGGUUUUGAGAUUGAUGAAUUAAAC
This 724-nucleotide long non-coding RNA is filed under the name Manihot esculenta (cassava). Its description in RNAcentral is "long non-coding RNA (MESC_LNC006000)". Lineage: Eukaryota; Viridiplantae; Streptophyta; Magnoliopsida; Malpighiales; Euphorbiaceae. The record is from RNAcentral.